CGAACAUCAGGGACGUGUUGCGACGAGAGAGUGUGUCGAUGAUAAGAUAUUAAGCCGAGUUGGCCAGGUCCCUAAGUCUUGGAUGGCGAGCUGUAGAUAGGCCUCGAGCCUGAGCCCAAGGAUCUCCACCUCUCAACCCCUGAACUCCAUCUGCUCUGGUCGGGCCGGUAGGCGGCUUAUAGCUGAACCCCUUGCCUCGCACCUCAUUGCUCUGCGGCCCUUUGCACUACCUCAUACACACCCUGCCCAUAAACUGAACUCUCACUACAAACUGCCAUACCCACAACCCCAAACCGUGUGGCUGUAUGAACUCUGAAUGCGCAUAUGGACUGCGAUCAGUCUCAUAUGACCUUUUAAGAACUUUUGAUACUACCUGUUAUGAAUUACCUGAACCCUUGCUGUUUUUUUCUUUUGUUUUGAAUGGCCAUUCCUAUCAAUGUAUGUCCACUAUUUGUUGCACUGUACAUAUUUAAAUAACACCAGUAUAAUUUAAAGCA
Molecule: long non-coding RNA, 497 nt
Organism: Nerophis lumbriciformis (worm pipefish)
Lineage: Eukaryota; Metazoa; Chordata; Actinopteri; Syngnathiformes; Syngnathidae
Source: RefSeq, a predicted model, not a curated record